GUUACCAUAACCAAUAACAACUGACUUCUAAUAAUAGCGUUCAUCCUCCUGGGGACUUAGCCAGAGACAUUAACUGUUCAGAUGUCCUGCAGCUGUCUGGAGACUCCCUGAUCUUUGAUAUUUCAUUUUAAAGGCUGAAAUUCCUUCAUACUUUAGGGGGAAAUCAUGGCUCUCCUCUUCCCACCUCCAUCCCUACCAGCGUCUCCUGGGGUUCCUGAAAGACUUACUUUUCUCCUGAUCGCAUCUUGCUCUGACAUCACACAGGUAAGCAAGGACAUGAUGGGGUUCUUUGGUCUUUCAUGUUUCUUAGAGCACCAUUGUCUUCCUUCUGCAUUCAAAACAAGUUCUGGUUUGAGUGGAAACCAUGGAAAUUGUUGGCUUGUUCUCUCUUUGAGUCCUGCUGAAGUCCCAUGCACCAGGGUCCACUGAAAUUCUGUACCAAUGGGGGUAUUGCAAACACUGACUGUGAAUGGGGAGGCAGAGAACAGUGGAUGUGUUACUACACCUGUCUCCUGUGCUCGGGCACAGGCUCUAUUGUCCUAUCAGACUAACAAUACAGAGAUUCACAGAUAGGAUAUUAACCGUUUUAAGAGGAUGAAAGCAGAACAUUAAAUCUCAAAAGGGAUUCUUUGCUCCUGGGCCCUUAUGUGACUGCACAGUUCACGAGCCUCUGAGUCUAACUCUGGAGAAGUACACCCCUUUUGUCCUUCCUCUCGCUGGCUGGCAGAGCAGGUGUGUGAGGCCGGGGGAAGAAGGGACAGAUCAGAGGGGAACAGAUGAAGACUGCAUGAUGUAAAACCUCUUUCUGAUUCUUCCACUGGAAUCAUCUGCGAUGAUGUUUGUGAACUGGAUUUUCCUUUGGGGAAUGUAAUUAAGUGUUGCAUCAUGCGUCAGGCCUCUUGUGGAACAAAAGUAGAGCCAAAAGAUGGGGCAUUGGUGUGCAGGUUACAUGUGCAGAUUUGGGGCUAGGGAUGCACACACAACAAACAACUUUGAGUAAUUGAACCCUGUUCUUUAACAUCCUUUGCCUGACCUGCCACUGGGAACUUUUCUCUGGUGUGGACUCUCCCAAAUCCUGCCUCCUGGCCUCUCUGGGUCCUCACUCUCUCCAUUAACCCCCCACCCCCAUUGCCUUUGGAAGUGCAAAAUGUUUUCUACUUUAUUUGCAGGGCAGUUAUUCCCACUUCUGAUUGAUCCUGAUCUAAUAGGCCAAAUUAUGCUACCAAGUUAAUUGCUGGAGGAAAGAAAAACAAAACGACAAGCAAAAACGUGGCUUAUUUCCUUUAAGAAUUUGGCUGCCAGUAUUUACAUAAUUAUUUUUCUCCCAAAUACUCUAGUAACAGACUUUCUUGACAUGGUUUUAAAACCCUCAGAAAUCCAUCCCUGCCUCCCUAGGUAAGUGUGGAGACUCUUCCUCUGGUCUCCUAUAAAAUCUUGUGCAUAUCAUACAUAUACCUACAUAUACAUAUAGUCAAAAAUCAACAAAGCCAGACGUUAAAAUGCUAAAAUAGAUUUUAUUCAGCAACUAUUGAUAGCUGAGAAAGAGCUGAGCUCCCUUCCAAUUUGUGCAGUGGUGACUGGGCAUUUCAAAGUGGAAUGAGGGAAUCGGGAGAGGGGUGGUCAGGGAUGUGAAAAAUUACAACAGGUUGGUCAGUUAAAUGCAUCAAGUCAGCUGUGUUUGCUGGCUGGUAAUUGAGGCUGACAAAUGAGGAUUCUGUCCUCCCACAGAAACUGGGGAACAGAGGCCCUAUUCUUCCUGAUGAUUACAUUCCAGAGAAAUCGCUUUCAGGUCCUUGAGAAAGAUGCCACUGCCACAUAUUGUCAAUUGUAAGCCCUUUGUAGUAAAUUGUUAAGCAAGGCAUCUCAUGUGUACAGUCUGCUCAGCCGCAUAAGAAAGGGCCCUGGGCCUGGAACAGUCCUUACCGGGAGAUAAGGGGCCCACACAGUCUGCCCUGGGCUUGUCACCUUGUGUGGGAAUAUCUUCCCGUUUCAGGUGUAAUGUGCUCCUUCUGUGUCAGCAUGUGUCAGCCAUCCUCAGGCACACCUUCAGCCUUCAGUAUUUCCAGCUCCAGGGGAAGAGUGGAGGCCCUUCCACCGCAGCAAAAGAUAGUUUCCAAGUGGAAUCCAAGCACAUCCUACCUAGGUGCUCUGCUUGUGGUCUCCUAGGGCUACAAUCCAGAACUACAAGACCAUUUCUCUCACCCCGAGCCCACCAGGAUGACCCGACCUGCAGUGCCCCAAACUUGUCUGUGUGGCAACAGUGUUUGGUGCCACCGUCCAUCAGAGCAGUGCCUUCUCCAGGGACUAAUUCACCAGAGGCUGCAAGAUCGUCUGCAGGAUGUGCCUCACUGGAGUCAAAGAAGUUGCUGAAAAUUGAAAACAGAACCUCCCCAGUCCUUUGAGUGAUCAACCAGCCUUGGGUGACCUGGCCCGUGCCUAGCUCUCCAGCCUCAGCCCUCUCUGACACCCUCCGACUUGACAUCUCGUGCUUGGGGGCCUGCCCGCAGCCCUGCAGCAGGAAAUGUAAGCAGAGGCAAGUGGCAAACAGGACAGAAUCUGUAGCAUAUAUAAAAAUCCGACAGUUUUCAUGCAUAUGACAUAUGUAAACAGUUACUAUGGAUCAGUAAGCAAAUCAUGAGCUGUCCACAAAUAAAAAUCUAUAUAUAAACAGCCAUCCGAAAACAGAAAAAUAUAUGUAGGGAGAAUAAACAUAAGGGAUAAAAGCCCAACCAUUAUAGUAACAAAAGAAAUACAAAUUAAAAGGGCAAUGAAUAUUUUCUGCCUUUGUAGGUGAAGUAAGGGGUGAAUUAAGACCUCUCCUAUGAGGCUGAUGAAGUGCAGAUUAGCAAAGAUUCCUCAUGGGAAAUUUUACUGCGUGAAAAAAGUCUUUUAAAAUGUGUAAAACAGUGACUAAGCAAUUCCACUGUUACAAAUUUAUCCUGAGGAAAUAAUUAGUAGAUUGAGAAUUUUUUUCACUUUGGGUAUGUAUAACACAGUGUGGUUUCUAAUGGAGAAUACUUAGAAAUAAUCCAAAGUGCCAACAAUUGGGUACUUUUAAAGUAAAUUCCAUACAAUACACUAUACGCAUCUAUUUAAAAGGGAAGUAUGGAAGUAUAACUGUUGACAUGAGACGGAUGUUUGUUCGUAAAUUUUUAAGAGAAAAAAGUUUAUAAAAAUAUGACACUAUUUUUUAUUUCAAAAAAGGUAUAUGUAUGAAAUGACAGGGAGAGUAUACACCAAACCAUAAACACUGGUUAUACCUAGAAUGGACUUGCUGGUGAUGAAAUUUGGGGGAAGCCUUUCUACAUUUUUCCAUCUUUGAACAAUAAUACUGAUUUAUUGGUAUAAUAAAAAGUAGUUUAAAAAUAACUCAAAUAAAAUUGCCGAACUUAGAGUUAUUUAUUAUUGAAGGAAUAGACUUGAGCAACUUAAUUUUUAAAAUAAAGCCAGCCAUUUACUUCAAUCCAGAAGACAUUUAUCCAUCUAAGAGCCAGGCGUGGUUGUGUGUUGGUGUAGGGAACACUGGUAAUUCACACAGUCGCUUAAAUAAACCUUGUUAAAUUACAAA
Neofelis nebulosa (Clouded leopard) is the source of this 3568-nucleotide long non-coding RNA. RefSeq lists it as uncharacterized. The transcript is spliced from 4 exons. The record is from RefSeq and is a predicted model, not a curated record. Lineage: Eukaryota; Metazoa; Chordata; Mammalia; Carnivora; Felidae.